GYCACGCCCGAAGUCGUUACCUCAACCGCAAGGAGGGGGAUGCCUAAGGCAGGGCUAGUGACUGGGGUGAAGUCGUAACAAGGUAGCCGUACCGGAAGGUGUGGCUGGAUCACCUCCUUAAAGGGAGACCUAAUUCAGGUAGGAGACGAAAAAAAAGUAGUCCCUACCAAGAAUCAAUCCCAAAAGGUCGGAGCGAGGCGAAAUUGGCUUUCAAACUAGGUUCUGGGUUCACACAAGACCUGAAUCAGGAACAAGGGCUAUUAGCUCAGGUGGUUAGAGCGCACCCCUGAUAAGGGUGAGGUCCCUGGUUCGAGUCCAGGAUGGCCCACCUGUACAGGUGGCAAAAACAAAGAAAAGAAGCUCCGAAUCAGCACCUUAUCUUAUUUAUAUAGUAAGAGAGAAUGCUGGCUCUGAGUAAAGAGUCCAGAGGAACCUUGAAAACUGCAUAGAGCUAGGUGAAAAAGCCAAAAAAGAAGACCGCAAGGUCAAGCUAAUAAGGGCUAACGGUGGAUACCUAGGCACACAGAGG
This 529-nucleotide small RNA is filed under the name uncultured Microcystis sp. RNAcentral's name for it is "bacterial LSU rRNA". The stretch from base 1 to 120 matches the Rfam family "Bacterial small subunit ribosomal RNA", at positions 1414 to 1533 of the family's 1533-position model. Lineage: Bacteria; Bacillati; Cyanobacteriota; Cyanophyceae; Chroococcales; Microcystaceae. The record is from RNAcentral.